RNAcentral lists this long non-coding RNA (408 nucleotides) under Homo sapiens (human). Its description in RNAcentral is "HSALNT0317896". Lineage: Eukaryota; Metazoa; Chordata; Mammalia; Primates; Hominidae. The record is from RNAcentral.
CAGCCACAUGGUCUGGCUGGGACAUCUGAAAAUGUUACCUAACCAAACUCCUGUAAAACCACACCACCUAUGCCUGUGAUGGGGACUAUCUGAAUCUACAGUGCCCUCGGCAUUCUACAAUAAGUGUCCAAUCGGCAUUUUAUGGACAAGAUUACCCAAUGUGUAGUUCCCAGAAGCCUGCCUGCCAGAGGGAAGACAGCUUAACUUGUGUGGCACCCACCACCUUCCAGAUGAAUUAAAAAACAAAACCGUGUGUGAAGACAAGGAGCUGAAACUGCACUGCCAUGAAUCCAAGUUCCUCAACAUCUACUCUGUGACCUAUGGCAGGAGGAUCCAGGAAAGGGACAUGUGCUCCUCCAAGGCAGAGCGGCUCCCCCCCUUUUCAGUAUGAACUUCGACCCAAGCGAA